Molecule: non-coding RNA, 100 nt
Organism: Oryza brachyantha (malo sina)
Lineage: Eukaryota; Viridiplantae; Streptophyta; Magnoliopsida; Poales; Poaceae
Source: Rfam
GUCUCCUCGGAGACAUCCGAUAAAAUUAGAACGAUACAAAGAUUACCAUAGCCACUGUGCAAAGAUGACACGCACAAAUCAAGAAAUGGUCCUAAAAAUA